GUGAACUGUGGCUAGGACUAGAACUACUCUACCUUCUCCUCAAUCUUCCUGAGCCUCUGUGACUUCUACACCAGGAAACGAGAGUGGAGAGAGAGAGAGAGAGAACUGACACAGGUUUUAGGCUGUCCUCAUUGACUCACUGCCUCCAGUUUGUGCCUGGGAGUUCUAGUUUGUUCUUGCUCUUCCUGUUUUACAUCCUGACCACUUGCCUCAAGAACUUCAAGGUCCAGCAUUAGAUGCAAUCACAAUAGCUUUAUGGAGACUGUUCAGUAAACAACCACAACUGCAUAAGAGGCAGACAGACGACUGGGUCCUGAGCCUGAAGCAUUCUUCAAUGUGACCUUGACUCUUGCAUUUUAUACUGCUAAAUUCAACCAAGCAAUCUUCCGGGUUCUGUACGGUGGUGGAAGCAGCAGCCCAUUGAGCCAGAGACCAACACUUCUGGGCAUAUGGAACCCAAGAGCGGAAAGCUUGCUGCGUUUCUCGGAAACUUCAGCUAAGGAAGGGCAGCCUCUGGAAAGUGAAGAAAUGGCACACUCACGGGAUGAGGCGGGAAAUGCCAUAGAGCCGGGGAGUCCAGCACCUGCCUAGGCCACACUGUGUACCGGAAGCAGUUUGCGUCCCCGAAUAAACUUAGAUACAAGUCCAGUAAAAACCAGAGUCCUCAUCAUCACCCAACAAGGGAGGUACUAUUGUCUUUGUUUAAUGGAUGAAGACACUAAACCUGCAAGGGUAAGAGUCUUGCCACAAGUGGGUCACAAAUCUAAGAAGUGGAUCACAUAUCUAAGAAGUGGAUCACAUAUAGACAAAGUGAAAGGGGAGUAAAAAGCAACCAGAGAAAAGAAGCAGAUGGGGAAACCGCUUGUGAGAAUGCCUUGUUCUGCAAAACCUUAUCACAGGGGCAGCAAGGGGAGCUGCCUUCUAUGUGACCUUACCUGAGUAGUUCCCAAAUCCUUGUUCUUGGACAUGGGAGGGCUGGAUGCCCAAAAAUCUCCUGAGGAACAUGAAUUACAAAACCCAAG
This 1022-nucleotide long non-coding RNA is filed under the name Heterocephalus glaber (naked mole-rat). Its description in RNAcentral is "lncRNA (ENSHGLG00000050755.1)". The record is from RNAcentral. Lineage: Eukaryota; Metazoa; Chordata; Mammalia; Rodentia; Bathyergidae.